AUACCGAGUGGCAAACGGGUGAGUAUAAUGUGGGAAUCUGCCUUUUGGUUUGGAAUAACACGGGGAAACUUGUGCUAAUACCGAAUAAGCCUUUACGGGGAAAGUUUUAACGCCGAAAGAUGAGCCUGCACUUGAUUAGCUAGUUGGUAAGGUAAAAGCUUACCAAGGCAACGAUCAAUAGCUGUUCUUAGAGGAAGACCAGCCACAUUGGGACUGAGACACGGCCCAGACUCCUACGGGAGGCAGCAGUGGGGAAUCUUGCACAAUGGGGGAAACCCUGAUGCAGCGAUGCCGCGUGAGUGAAGAAGGCCAUUGGGUUGUAAAACUCUUUCGUCGGGGAAGAAAAUGACUGUACCCGAAUAAGAAGGUCCGGCUAACUUCGUGCCAGCAGCCGCGGUAAUACGAAGGGACCUAGCGUAGUUCGGAAUUACUGGGCUUAAAGAGCUCGUAGGUGGUUAAAAAAGUUGAUGGUGAAAUCCCAAGGCUCAACCUUGGAACUGCCAUCAAAACUUUUUAGCUAGAGUGUGAUAGAGGUAAGUGGAAUUUCUAGUGUAGAGGUGAAAUUCGUAGAUAUUAGAAAGAACACCAAAUGCGAAGGCA
This 600-nucleotide ribosomal RNA is filed under the name uncultured Alphaproteobacteria bacterium. Its description in RNAcentral is "bacterial SSU rRNA". It matches the Rfam family "Bacterial small subunit ribosomal RNA", at positions 88 to 723 of the family's 1533-position model. Lineage: Bacteria; Pseudomonadati; Pseudomonadota; Alphaproteobacteria. The record is from RNAcentral.